GCGUUUGGAAGCAGGGCCUGUGCACCCCCUUGUGUCACCUGGGUGGUAUGAGCUGCCAGCAUUCCUUCCUUGCAUAAAAAUAGAUCUUCCCAAAGCUGAGGAGAAAGAUGGCUUUGCAAAGGACACUGUGAUGGAUAUCAAAACACACAAAAGAGUAAUUUGUAAUUUGUCUUUAUAUCUCUAGGGAUUUUUGUACCAUGAAGUGAUCUUGACUUUUGGUACAUUAUUAGAUAACAUUCUCUUUUUAUCUUACCCCAUCUUUUCUAUAAUAUCAUUUUGUAUAAUUAAAAAAAAAUUAACAGUAACAUACUCAUUAUACAAAAUACAGAAAGUAUAAAAUAAUUAUUAUAACAAAGAAGAUGAUUAUAAGCAUUUUGAUGUGUUUUCCUCUAGUUUUCUUUCUCUCUCUCUCUCUCUCUCUCUCUCUAUGUAUAUAUAUAUAUAUACAUAUAUAUAUAUAUAUAUGUGUGUGUGUGUGUGUAAUUUAUAUAGCAGAUAGGAUAUAGUGUUUGGGGGUUGAUUUCUUUCUUUCUUUCUUUUUUUUUAACUUGACAUUGAAUUCUCACUAUAGGAAAGUCAGUUUCUGUAUCUCUCAGGCUCCAUGCUGAAUCUCUAGUACCCAGCAAAAUACAUGGCAAGUAAUAAACUCCUGACAAAUAGUAAUUCAAUUGCUGAAUCUUUAUCUUGUUAUUUAUGUAACCAUUCCCAUUUUCCAGUUUGUUCACUAUUGUAAACCACAUAAUGAUGAGCUUCCUUGUGCAUACAUAAAUCUUUUUCCACCUUUCUGAUUUCUCCGUCAUGAUAUAUUUCUCAAAUGUAAUGAUUAGAUCAAAGGGAAUAAGAAAUACCAAUUACAUGUUGCCUGACUGCCUUCCAAUUCACACGGCCAUCAGCAG
This 896-nucleotide long non-coding RNA is filed under the name Marmota monax (woodchuck). The record is from RNAcentral. Lineage: Eukaryota; Metazoa; Chordata; Mammalia; Rodentia; Sciuridae.